Long non-coding RNA from Paramacrobiotus metropolitanus, 2265 nucleotides. RefSeq lists it as uncharacterized. The record is from RefSeq and is a predicted model, not a curated record. The transcript has 4 exons. Lineage: Eukaryota; Metazoa; Tardigrada; Eutardigrada; Parachela; Macrobiotidae.
UGCUGUGAACAUGUAUUAUUAAAGCUACUCAUUAUUAUUACGUACUUUCCACAUACUUCACAAUGGCGUGAAGGAUUAUUCGAUCUCAUGCAUACUAUGUACUACUGUUAUACUGGUUUCGUGCCAUAUUACUACGUCCUAUUCCGUCACCGCCACUCCAUGGACAGUUCUGCCUGGGUUAGAGGAUCGCAUGCAUUCUAACCAUGGACUCCGCCCACGUGAACAAGGUCAUCCCCGUUCCUUUUUCGGCAACGAAUGCUUGCCACAUAUCCUCCGCCACGAUGCUGGCAUGGUUCCAUUUCCGUAACGUCGGUACCGAAGUGCAGUAUCUGCCGUUUGUUCCUUACGGAGCAAUUUUGGCUUCCACGGAAAUCCGCAGCCUUACGGCAACAUGCAGCCACCGUCCGCAGUUAGUCUGCUGACCGUUCAUUCCAGCAGCAGCGGACACCGUUUUGGUUCUUUGCAGAACGCCCUUCUUCAAGGACAACUGAAGAACCUGGCUCCUCGCACUGAAAGCAAGGACCUACAUGGCUGUUGCCAUGGCUGACCUACCAUACACUGGCUUUCGUACAGCCUAUUCAAUUUACCAGCGACGUUCCGUACGUGCUUGAAUUCCAACGUACAAGUUCUUCCCAGUACCUUCACUGAAAUACAGGCAUUUCUUACGCCGUACACCCUGGAUACCGUUGCGUACCAGUUUGGAAGAUGCGUACAUCCGGUGAACUAGUACUACCUGGGUCAGUAUGGAUCCUGCAGCAGAAUCCACCCACAUACGGCGCCGUACUCAUUUUAUGGAUUUCAACUGCUGCACAGUACAAGUUCUGCCAGUACAGUACUCUGCCUCCGGUGAAUGAUAAGUACUACUGGAUUAUUAUUGCUUGGUUAAUACUUUACAUACUGUACUUGCUUACUUCGUACAAUUACUUAUCCGUUUUACAUUACAAUUUACUUUAGCGCUAGUACAAUACAAAUUCAUUCUUUUAUACAAUUCUUUAUUCAUACGUAUCACAUUCCUUCGAUACGUGGGGAAGAGUGUGGUGUCUCGUGAAUUCAUGUUGUUGUACUCCGUACACAUGUUGUUUACAUCCUAGCAACUCAGGUUGUAUUCUAUUGCUGUACUGUUCUACUUGUUACUGAUUUAGUCAUCUAGUUGGCCAGCUGCAGUGAACAUGUAUUAUUAAAGCUACUCAUUAUUAUUACGUACUUUCCACAUACUUCACAACUGCAUUUCGUACUACAUUUUGGAGCUCGACAAAUCUGAGAAUGCAUCCACCUUAAGGAGUGGAUUCUUCUUCGUUACAGCUGCUGACGUUGGGUUCAUAGCUUCCGACUGGACACUAUUGGUUUUCAAUCUUGCUCAUCUCAUCAACGUUCUCUUCCCAUUGAAGAGUCGGACAGUCGUUACAGCGAGCCGAAUACGAGCUGUCAUUAUCCUGCUCGUGAUGCUGGCUGUUGUGAUGUGGCUCUUCGACUAUAUCAAAACCUUCUCCUUGUCGGACGGCUACGAAGUUCAGCCGCAUAGUCGUUGGUUGAUGGAGUGGAGCCGCGUUCACACGAAAGAAGUGUCAUUUAUCAUCGUUUUCACUUUCUUUGCCAUCCUCUCAUCGAAUGUUGUGGUUAUCUUGUUCCUGAUGUGCCGGUACAAAUCUCCCCAAGUCGCCGCCAAUAACAAUCCUCGCCCGUCACGACACAUAGCGGCUGUGCGCCUGCUGAUCUUGCCAGCUGUAUGAAUGCCGUACUGAAAGCGCCUUUCAUCAUGUACGAACUGCUGGAAAAUCUGUGCGCGUACCGGGUACCGGAUGCAUCACUCACGGUGUUUGAAGCGAUAAGGAUUCAUUCGUACUUCGCGAAUUAUUCUCUGAGUUUCCUCGUCUACUGCUUGGUCAGUCCGGACUAUGGGAAGAAAGCCUGGAAAAUCGUAACAAGGUGUUGCGAAAGAAAGGCGGCAAGACAUGUACAUCACCGCCAAUUAACCCAACUUACUUCAACAGUUUGAGCCACUGCUGGAUCAUGUCUGUUUUCCCUCAUUUCUAUGAAAUUUUCGGUUUUACCUGACAUUAAGGGCGCUAUGUUCAUGCCUUUUAGUUUGGCAGCCUGUUGCUUUUUUUAAAAUAGGAUCUCGAAAAUUUUUGUGACUGCAAAUCAAAAAGCAGCAGUCAAAAAAUUUAGUACACUACUAAUUUUCGUAAUCGAAGUGUUUUGUUAACGACUGCUGCAAAUUUUCAAGUACAGAUUCAUGAUACAUCGAGCAUUGGGGUUUUUUGG